CCUACGGGAGGCAGCAGUAGGGAAUCUUCCACAAUGGACGAAAGUCUGAUGGAGCAACGCCGCGUGAGCGAUGAAGGCCUUCGGGUCGUAAAGCUCUGUUGUUAGGGAAGAACAAGUACCGGAGUAACUGCCGGUACCUUGACGGUACCUAACCAGAAAGCCACGGCUAACUACGUGCCAGCAGCCGCGGUAAUACGUAGGUGGCAAGCGUUGUCCGGAAUUAUUGGGCGUAAAGCGCGCGCAGGCGGUCCUUUAAGUCUGAUGUGAAAGCCCACGGCUCAACCGUGGAGGGUCAUUGGAAACUGGGGGACUUGAGUACAGAAGAGGAAAGUGGAAUUCCACGUGUAGCGGUGAAAUGCGUAGAGAUGUGGAGGAACACCAGUGGCGAAGGCGACUUUCUGGUCUGUAACUGACGCUGAGGCGCGAAAGCGUGGGGAGCAAACAGGAUUAGAUACCCUGGUAGUCCACGCCGUAAACGAUGAGUGCUAAGUGUUAGAGGGUUUCCGCCCUUUAGUGCUGCAGCUAACGCAUUAAGCACUCCGCCUGGGGAGUACGGCCGCAAGGCUGAAACUCAAAGGAAUUGACGG
This 587-nucleotide ribosomal RNA is filed under the name uncultured bacterium. RNAcentral's name for it is "bacterial SSU rRNA". It matches the Rfam family "Bacterial small subunit ribosomal RNA", at positions 338 to 916 of the family's 1533-position model. The record is from RNAcentral.